This 86-nucleotide non-coding RNA is filed under the name Xenorhabdus bovienii str. oregonense. The record is from RNAcentral. Lineage: Bacteria; Pseudomonadati; Pseudomonadota; Gammaproteobacteria; Enterobacterales; Morganellaceae.
UAAAUAUGUUUUCUCAGAAAAAGCACGACAUUGCUCACAUUGCUUCCAGUAUUUUUAUUAGCCAGCUCGGGUGCUGGCUAUUUUUU